UACAGAGGACUCAAGCGUUGUUCGGAUUCAUUGGGCGUAAAGGGUGCGUAGGCGGCGCGGUAAGUCGGGUGUGAAAUCUCGGAGCUUAACUCCGAAACUGCAUUCGAUACUGCCGUGCUUGAGGACUGGAGAGGAGACUGGAAUUUACGGUGUAGCGGUGAAAUGCGUAGAUAUCGUAAGGAAGACCAGUGGCGAAGGCGGGUCUCUGGACAGUUCCUGACGCUGAGGCACGAAGGCCAGGGGAGCAAACGGG
This 253-nucleotide ribosomal RNA is filed under the name uncultured bacterium. Its description in RNAcentral is "partial 16S ribosomal RNA". It matches the Rfam family "Bacterial small subunit ribosomal RNA", at positions 524 to 776 of the family's 1533-position model. The record is from RNAcentral.